This 70-nucleotide transfer RNA is filed under the name Porphyromonas somerae. It matches the Rfam family "tRNA". From Rfam's summary of the family: Transfer RNA (tRNA) molecules are approximately 80 nucleotides in length. Their secondary structure includes four short double-helical elements and three loops (D, anti-codon, and T loops). Further hydrogen bonds mediate the characteristic L-shaped molecular structure. tRNAs have two regions of fundamental functional importance: the anti-codon, which is responsible for specific mRNA codon recognition, and the 3' end, to which the tRNAs corresponding amino acid is attached (by aminoacyl-tRNA synthetases). tRNAs cope with the degeneracy of the genetic code in two manners: having more than one tRNA (with a specific anti-codon) for a particular amino acid; and 'wobble' base-pairing, i.e. permitting non-standard base-pairing at the 3rd anti-codon position. Lineage: Bacteria; Pseudomonadati; Bacteroidota; Bacteroidia; Bacteroidales; Porphyromonadaceae. The record is from RNAcentral. RNAcentral also lists the same sequence under 6 other names.
CGGAAAUAGCUCAGUUGGUAGAGCACAACCUUGCCAAGGUUGGGGUCGCGGGUUCGAGUCCCGUUUUCCG